Molecule: non-coding RNA, 1463 nt
Organism: Salvelinus sp. IW2-2015
Lineage: Eukaryota; Metazoa; Chordata; Actinopteri; Salmoniformes; Salmonidae
Source: RefSeq, a predicted model, not a curated record
GAAAGAGCAAUGCGUGUGAGUCAGAACAACUAGGAAAUCCCCCAGUGAGAGUUACGACAGAAGGUGCUGUUCCUUUAAGCGGAGACUUCCUAAAACAAGCACGACACGGAGCAGAUAAACAACAACUGCGGGGGUAGAAUAACACCGAAUAGACCGUUUACCGGGAUUCAUCUUGUUCAUACAAACGACGGAUCUUUAAGGUGUGUCAAAGCACUAUAUCUGCUGAUUUCGCGUAUCAAAAAUCCCAGAACACCAUUGCGGAAGUAAACCCAACCUCGACGUGAGAAGAGGGGGACACCAAGUGGACUCAACGGAGAAAUACUGCGCGCGACCUUCUGUAUGGGAGAGAUGUACGGAUCGUCAGGAAUGCCAGAUCUGAUUCCAUCGAAUGGCCCGCGACAGCCCGGUCCGGCCGGCCAGUUCAACCCGGGACAUAGGCAGGUAGCACAGAAUGGGCAUGAGAGGCCCAACCCCCAGAGACUAGGGCAGCGGGCGCCCAAACUCGGACAAAUUGGUCGUUCCAAGAAAGUGGACCUAGGGGAUGAGGACGUGGAUGACAUCAUGAAUAAUAAUAGCCAAUAAUAAUGUUCCGUGUCCCUCAACCUCUCACCCAUCUCCUAAACCACACCACAUGUGCCAAUGAAGAUCUUCGAAGCCAAACUCAACUGAAUCAAUUUGACCUUGAUCAAUCAACUUUACAAGUGACCUCCCCUGAAGCUUGGCCUAGGAUAUCAUAGCUGAAAAGCUCAUCGUGGCACAUUGAGGGACAGUUCUAUUGCCGGAAUUCUAGACAUUAGUUCUAGACAUUAAUUUUAGGAUUCUAUAGACCUUUGCAUCAAAAGCUUGUAUAUUGCGGUUAACUUGUCUGUUGUUAUACUGUGAAUGAAUUGUACUGAAACUUGUUCUGCUCUUAUUACCUCUGUAGUGGACUAUCUGCACUUGGGAAAGUACAGUGUGGCUUGUCUUUAAAGCUUCUAAAGGGCUAUAUUUGAAAAAAAGUUGCACUCUUUAAAUGAUAAGGUAAAAUGGAGUAGGAGUGCUGAUCUAGGAUCAGGUCCCCACUUGUCUAUAGAAUCUUAUUUAAUAUCAUCUAAAAGGCAAGUCUGAUCUUAGAUCAGCACACAGAGGCUAUGAAUACAGUUUUCUUGGUUACUGAUUUUACAAGGUGGAUGUUGUGUAGAAGAAGGCAGGACGGAAGCCUGUUAAUGUUCCACCUGUACGUUACAUGUUGAGUUACUGACAGUUGUGAUUUAACCUAAAUCUGUGGUUCUCUCACCUUGUGGAGUAUCAGGUUACUGCUGAAUGAUCACUGUUUUGGAAUGCAGGGACAGUUGGAAAAGGUUACUACUGAUCAUUUAUAUUUACAAAAAAAAUAUUGUUUUGGUUUAUUACCUUGUUAUAAAUCAAUUAUGGAUGGCUAUUAUUUUCCAGCACAUUUUUUUAAAGAGUUGAUAUAAUAUAUG